Molecule: ribosomal RNA, 393 nt
Filed under: uncultured bacterium
Lineage: Bacteria
Description: partial 16S ribosomal RNA
Rfam family: Bacterial small subunit ribosomal RNA
Source: RNAcentral
AUACGGAGGAUCCGAGCGUUAUCCGGAUUUAUUGGGUUUAAAGGGAGCGUAGGCGGACGCUUAAGUCAGUUGUGAAAGUUUGCGGCUCAACCGUAAAAUUGCAGUUGAUACUGGGUGUCUUGAGUACAGUAGAGGCAGGCGGAAUUCGUGGUGUAGCGGUGAAAUGCUUAGAUAUCACGAAGAACUCCGAUUGCGAAGGCAGCCUGCUGGACUGUAACUGACGCUGAUGCUCGAAAGUGUGGGUAUCAAACAGGAUUAGAUACCCUGGUAGUCCACACAGUAAACGAUGAAUACUCGCUGUUUGCGAUAUACAGUAAGCGGCCAAGCGAAAGCGUUAAGUAUUCCACCUGGGGAGUGCGCCGGCAACGGUGAAACUCAAAGGAAUUGACGGGG